This 995-nucleotide ribosomal RNA is filed under the name uncultured bacterium. RNAcentral describes it as "bacterial SSU rRNA". It matches the Rfam family "Bacterial small subunit ribosomal RNA", at positions 356 to 1376 of the family's 1533-position model. The record is from RNAcentral.
GGGGAAUAUUGCACAAUGGGGGAAACCCUGAUGCAGCGACGCCGCGUGGAGGAAGAAGGUCUUCGGAUUGUAAACUCCUGUUGUUGGGGAAGAUAAUGACGGUACCCAACAAGGAAGUGACGGCUAACUACGUGCCAGCAGCCGCGGUAAAACGUAGGUCACAAGCGUUGUCCGGAAUUACUGGGUGUAAAGGGAGCGCAGGCGGGAAGACAAGUUGGAAGUGAAAUCUAUGGGCUCAACCCAUAAACUGCUUUCAAAACUGUUUUUCUUGAGUAGUGCAGAGGUAGGCGGAAUUCCCGGUGUAGCGGUGGAAUGCGUAGAUAUCGGGAGGAACACCAGUGGCGAAGGCGGCCUACUGGGCACCAACUGACGCUGAGGCUCGAAAGUGUGGGUAGCAAACAGGAUUAGAUACCCUGGUAGUCCACACCGUAAACGAUGAUUACUAGGUGUUGGAGGAUUGACCCCUUCAGUGCCGCAGUUAACACAAUAAGUAAUCCACCUGGGGAGUACGACCGCAAGGUUGAAACUCAAAGGAAUUGACGGGGGCCCGCACAAGCAGUGGAGUAUGUGGUUUAAUUCGACGCAACGCGAAGAACCUUACCAAGUCUUGACAUCCCUUGACAGACAUAGAAAUAUGUAAUCUCUUCGGAGCAAGGAGACAGGUGGUGCAUGGUUGUCGUCAGCUCGUGUCGUGAGAUGUUGGGUUAAGUCCCGCAACGAGCGCAACCCUUAUGGUCAGUUACUACGCAAGAGGACUCUGGCCAGACUGCCGUUGACAAAACGGAGGAAGGUGGGGAUGACGUCAAAUCAUCAUGCCCUUUAUGACUUGGGCUACACACGUACUACAAGGGCGUUAAACAAAGAGAAGCAAGACCGCGAGGUGGAGCAAAACUCAAAAACAACGUCUCAGUUCAGAUUGCAGGCUGCAACUCGCCUGCAUGAAGUCGGAAUUGCUAGUAAUCGCGGAUCAGCAUGCCACGGUGAAUACGUUCCCG